RNAcentral lists this ribosomal RNA (547 nucleotides) under uncultured bacterium. RNAcentral describes it as "bacterial SSU rRNA". It matches the Rfam family "Bacterial small subunit ribosomal RNA", at positions 358 to 916 of the family's 1533-position model. The record is from RNAcentral.
GGAAUAUUGGGCAAUGGAGGGAACUCUGACCCAGCGACGCCGCGUGCGGGAUGAAGGCCUUCGGGUUGUAAACCGCUUUCAGCAAGGAAGAAGCGAAAGUGACGGUACUUGCAGAAGAAGCACCGGCUAACUAUGUGCCAGCAGCCGCGGUAAUACAUAGGGUGCAAGCGUUGCCCGGAAUUAUUGGGCGUAAAGAGCUCGUAGGUGGUUCGUCACGUCGGAUGUGAAAAUCUGGGGCUUAACCCCAGACCUGCAUUCGAUACGGGCGAGCUAGAGUGUGGUAGGGGAGACUGGAAUUCCUGGUGUAGCGGUGGAAUGCGCAGAUAUCAGGAGGAACACCAAUGGCGAAGGCAGGUCUCUGGGCCAUUACUGACACUGAGGAGCGAAAGCGUGGGGAGCGAACAGGAUUAGAUACCCUGGUAGUCCACGCCGUAAACGGUGGGCACUAGUUGUGGGAACCUUCCACGGUUUCUGCGACGCAGCUAACGCAUUAAGUGCCCCGCCUGGGGAGUACGAUCGCAAGAUUAAAACUCAAAGGAAUUGACGG